This 393-nucleotide ribosomal RNA is filed under the name uncultured archaeon. RNAcentral describes it as "bacterial SSU rRNA". It matches the Rfam family "Archaeal small subunit ribosomal RNA", at positions 606 to 997 of the family's 1478-position model. The record is from RNAcentral.
AGGUAAGAGGUACGUACAGGGGUAGGAGUGAAAUCUUGUAAUCCCCUGUGGGACCACCUGUGGCGAAGGCGUCUUACCAGAACGGGUUCGACGGUGAGGGACGAAAGCUGGGGCACGAACCGGAUUAGAUACCCGGGUAGUCCCAGCCGUAAACGAUGCUCGCUAGGUGUCAGGCAUGGCGCGACCGUGUCUGGUGCCGCAGGGAAGCCGUGAAGCGAGCCACCUGGGAAGUACGGCCGCAAGGCUGAAACUUAAAGGAAUUGGCGGGGGAGCACAACAACGGGUGGAGCCUGCGGUUUAAUUGGACUCAACGCCGGACAACUCACCGGGGGCGACAGCAAUAUGUAGGCCAAGCUGAAGACUUUGCCUGAAUCGCUGAGUAGUGGUGCAUGG